UGCAUUUAGAGUUCCACCAUUUGACAGAAUUCCUGGUCUUUGUGGGAUUUUUUUCUGGAGUUAUUUCCUGCAAUAGUUGUAGUCAUGAGAUGAUGUACUGAUGGAGGAAAUUCUGUGUGAUUUUAUGAUACGUACAUAUUUUUGCAUAUUUGCAAGGCAUGCUCUGGAGGAAUGAUUUGAGCCUAUAAUGUCAUCUAAUUGGUGCGUUGAUAAAAUUACAUUCUGUAACAACUAUAUCAGAACAUCAACCUAAAAAUCAAAAGGCAUAGGUUAGGGUAAAUAGAAAAUACUGGUUUGGGUAAAUAGAGCUAGAGUAUAUCACUACAAUCUGACAGCCUCCUUGCAAAGAUUGACAUAUUACAAGACCCAACAUGUGACUAUAAUCACAUCGAAGAGAUAAUUUGUGUUUUGUGGACCUGCUUCCUAUGGUAUGAAAGAUAAAAAUUUAUACAAAAUUACAGAAAGAACAGAUGGACUCUGCUCUGCAGAAUUCACAUAUUUCUUAAAGAACCCAAGAUACAGGGCAUCAAACAUAUAGAUAAAUUUGUAGAAGCUUCGUAUAUCACCAUGUAACGAGAAUAAUUAUGUUAAAAUUCAAAGACAACAAAGAUUACUAAGCUUUAAACUGAAACCUUACCAUCGUACUGAUAUUUUCUAAUACAUAAGUCUGAAGCUAGAUGUACAUUAAAAAGACUAAAGAGAGAACGCUAGAUUAAAGAUUAGGACUGAGUAUUAGAUUAAGAUUAAAUAUUACAGAUUGUGCAAUUAUUUUUAUACCUUGAUAUUGCUGUUAUAUUGUUAAUAUUCAACACUCUUGAUGUAACAUGAAGCUAGAUUUAAAACUAAGACUGAGCACUAGGUUAAGGUUUGGUAUUACAAAUUGUGCAAUCACUCGGAUUUUUAGUUCUAAGCUCACUAUUUUUACUUGAUAUUGUUAUUAUAUUAUUGAUAUAGUGAUAAUGUGGCUUAUAGACCCUUAAAAGCUUGUAUUCAUUAAAAAAAGAUAUCUUGAUAUUCUCAGUCAUGGUGUAAUAUACUUAUGUUCUCAACACGUAUACCGAAAUGGCGGGAAAUGUACUAUAGCAAUGUUUCAAGAUCCUAGUAAAUACUUUAUUUGUCUACUUUCUGCACUAGUUUUUCCGGUUGAAUUAAGAGAAUCCUUACAUUCUUUUGUUUAUGAUAAAAGAAAGAAGGGAAAAGAGAGAAGAGGAAGGAUAAGGAAAAGAUAAUAGCAAAGGUAAUGUAGAAACGAAAGGUAUAUGUAUUGGAUUUAUUUUCGUUAAUUUUACAUAAAACAGCGUAUUGAUACGCUAAUAGUCGAAUAGCAUUCGUUCGAAAAUACAAUAUGAUGUAUGUAAUUAGUUGGAAACAAAAUAGACGCAAUGUACAAGUAUUUAAGCUGCAUGUACGACAGGUAUCGAUAUCAGU
Molecule: long non-coding RNA, 1428 nt
Organism: Bombus terrestris (buff-tailed bumblebee)
Lineage: Eukaryota; Metazoa; Arthropoda; Insecta; Hymenoptera; Apidae
Exons: 2
Source: RefSeq, a predicted model, not a curated record